Molecule: ribosomal RNA, 301 nt
Filed under: uncultured bacterium
Lineage: Bacteria
Description: partial 16S ribosomal RNA
Rfam family: Bacterial small subunit ribosomal RNA
Source: RNAcentral
CAGUCGCCACGGGAAAACGGAGGGGGCUAGCGUUGUUCGAAAUUACCGGGCGUAAAGCGCACGUAGGCGGCUUGGUAAGUUAGAGGUGAAAGCCUGGAGCUCAACUCCAGAAUUGCCUUUAAGACUGCCGAGCUAGCAGGUGAGAGAGGUAAGUGGAAUUCCGAGUGUAGAGGUGAAAUUCGUAGAUAUUCGGAAGAACACCAGUGGCGAAGGCGGCCAUCUGGGACAACACUGACGCUGAGGCACGAAAGCGUGGGGAGCAAACAGGAUUAGAUACCCCUGUAGUCCCUGUCUCUUAUAA